This 460-nucleotide ribosomal RNA is filed under the name uncultured bacterium. RNAcentral's name for it is "partial 16S ribosomal RNA". It matches the Rfam family "Bacterial small subunit ribosomal RNA", at positions 338 to 795 of the family's 1533-position model. The record is from RNAcentral.
CCUACGGGCGGCAGCAGUGAGGAAUAUUGGUCAAUGGACGCAAGUCUGAACCAGCCAUGCCGCGUGCAGGAAGACGGCUCUAUGAGUUGUAAACUGCUUUUGUACGAGGGUAAACGCAGAUACGCGUAUCUGUCUGCAAGUAUCGUACGAAUAAGGAUCGGCUAACUCCGUGCCAGCAGCCGCGGUAAUACGGAGGAUUCGAGCGUUAUCCGGAUUUAUUGGGUUUAAAGGGUGCGUAGGCGGUCGGAUAAGUUAGAGGUGAAAUCCCGAGGCUCAACUUCGGCAUUGCCUCUGAUACUGUUCGGCUAGAGAGUAGUUGCGGUAGGCGGAAUGUAUGGUGUAGCGGUGAAAUGCUUAGAGAUCAUACAGAACACCGAUUGCGAAGGCAGCUUACCAAGCUACUUCUGACGUUGAGGCACGAAAGCGUGGGGAGCAAACAGGAUUAGAUACCCUUGUAGUC